Molecule: ribosomal RNA, 253 nt
Filed under: uncultured bacterium
Lineage: Bacteria
Description: partial 16S ribosomal RNA
Rfam family: Bacterial small subunit ribosomal RNA
Source: RNAcentral
UACGUAGGGGGCAAGCGUUGUCCGGAAUCAUUGGGCGUAAAGAGCGCGUAGGCGGCCCGAUAAGUCCGCUGUGAAAGUCAAGGGCUCAACCCUUGAAUGCCGGUGGAUACUGUCGGGCUAGAGUCCGGAAGAGGCGAGUGGAAUUCCUGGUGUAGCGGUGAAAUGCGCAGAUAUCAGGAGGAACACCCAUGGCGAAGGCAGCUCGCUGGGACGGUACUGACGCUGAGGCGCGAAAGCGUGGGGAGCAAACAGG